RNAcentral lists this ribosomal RNA (705 nucleotides) under uncultured bacterium. Its description in RNAcentral is "bacterial SSU rRNA". It matches the Rfam family "Bacterial small subunit ribosomal RNA", at positions 28 to 708 of the family's 1533-position model. The record is from RNAcentral.
GACGAACGCUGGCGGCGUGCCUAAUACAUGCAAGCCGAACGCUGCUUAAGAAGAAACUUCGGUUUUUUCUUAAGCGGAGUGGCGGACGGGUGAGUAACACGUGGGGAACCUAUCUAUCAGCGGGGGAUAACACUUGGAAACAGGUGCUAAUACCGCAUAUGGCUUUUUUUCACCUGAAAGAAAGCUCAAAGGCGCUUUACAGCGUCACUGAUGGCUGGUCCCGCGGUGCAUUAGCCAGUUGGUGAGGUAACGGCUCACCAAAGCAACGAUGCAUAGCCGACCUGAGAGGGUGAUCGGCCACACUGGGACUGAGACACGGCCCAGACUCCUACGGGAGGCAGCAGUAGGGAAUCUUCGGCAAUGGACGCAAGUCUGACCGAGCAACGCCGCGUGAGUGAAGAAGGUUUUCGGAUCGUAAAGCUCUGUUGUCAGCAAAGAACAGGAGAAAGAGGAAAUGCUUUUUCUAUGACGGUAGCUGACCAGAAAGCCACGGCUAACUACGUGCCAGCAGCCGCGGUAAUACGUAGGUGGCAAGCGUUGUCCGGAUUUAUUGUGCGUAAAGCGAGCGCAGGCGGUGAUUUAAGUCUGAUGUGAAAGCCCCCAGCUCAACUGGGGAGGGUCAUUGGAAACUGGAUCACUUGAGUGCAGAAGAGGAAAGUGGAAUUCCAUGUGUAGCGGUGAAAUGCGCAGAGAUAUGGAGGAACA